RNAcentral lists this ribosomal RNA (253 nucleotides) under uncultured bacterium. Its description in RNAcentral is "partial 16S ribosomal RNA". It matches the Rfam family "Bacterial small subunit ribosomal RNA", at positions 524 to 776 of the family's 1533-position model. The record is from RNAcentral.
UACGUAGGGGGCAAGCGUUGUCCGGAUUUAUUGGGCGUAAAGAGCGUGUAGGCGGCCAUGUAGGUCCGUUGUGAAAACUCGAGGCUCAACCUCGAGACGCCGAUGGAAACCAUGUGGCUAGAGUCCGGAAGAGGAGAGUGGAAUUCCUGGUGUAGCGGUGAAAUGCGCAGAUAUCGGGAAGAACACCCGUGGCGAAGGCGGUUCUCUGGGACGGUACUGACGCUGAGACGCGAAAGCGUGGGGAGCGAACAGG